This 497-nucleotide ribosomal RNA is filed under the name uncultured bacterium. RNAcentral describes it as "partial 16S ribosomal RNA". It matches the Rfam family "Bacterial small subunit ribosomal RNA", at positions 28 to 507 of the family's 1533-position model. The record is from RNAcentral.
GAUGAACGCUGGCGGCGUGCCUAAUACAUGCAAGUCGAGCGAACAGACGAGGAGCUUGCUCCUCUGACGUUAGCGGCGGACGGGUGAGUAACACGUGGAUAACCUACCUAUAAGACUGGGAUAACUUCGGGAAACCGGAGCUAAUACCGGAUAACAUGUUGAACCGCAUGGUUCAACAGUGAAAGACGGUCUUGCUGUCACUUAUAGAUGGAUCCGCGCCGCAUUAGCUAGUUGGUAAGGUAACGGCUUACCAAGGCAACGAUGCGUAGCCGACCUGAGAGGGUGAUCGGCCACACUGGAACUGAGACACGGUCCAGACUCCUACGGGAGGCAGCAGUAGGGAAUCUUCCGCAAUGGGCGCAAGCCUGACGGAGCCACGCCGCGUGAGUGAAGAAGGUCUUCGGAUCGUAAAACGCUGUUAUUAGGGAAGAACAAAUGUGUAAGUAACUAUGCACGUCUUGACGGUACCUAAUCAGAAAGCCACGGCUAACUACGUG